Molecule: long non-coding RNA, 481 nt
Filed under: Mytilus galloprovincialis (Mediterranean mussel)
Lineage: Eukaryota; Metazoa; Mollusca; Bivalvia; Mytilida; Mytilidae
Source: RNAcentral
GUUCACCGAGUUAUUAUCAUCCAUAAUACAUUUUAACAAAAUAUAAAGUAAACGAAUUAAGUUGACAGUAAUAGUCGAUGUUAAACUUUAUAUCCCUAAAUUUGCACAAAAGCAAGAUAGAGGAUUGUUUUUGUUUUAAUCAGGACCUGAACACUGAGAGCUAAACCUUUAAACAGCAGCUUCAUUGAAAUAUAUUGAUUAAAUGUGCACUAUAAAUGUUAUUAUAGGAUGAAAUUGCACAUAUCUGGAUUUUUUCAUAAAAACUAUGAUUGUCAGUGUGUGACCUAACAAGAGUUUAAUUAUCUACACCUAUUUUCCGAUUCAUAUUUUCAAUAAACCAACAACUAUAUUAACUAAAAGUUCAAUGGCAAAUAUUUCAUGCAUAAUUAACAUGCAGAGAGCUUGGCAAUAUCUCUAUAAGAUGCAUCUGAUUAAACGUCCCCAUUCUGACCUGCAUGGACUGGGUACUUGUAUAUCCCGC